CAAACGGCCCUUUUAAGGGCCACUAAUUUAUCACGAAAGAGUUGU
Culex pipiens (northern house mosquito) is the source of this 45-nucleotide regulatory RNA element. It matches the Rfam family "Histone 3' UTR stem-loop". From Rfam's summary of the family: The mRNAs of metazoan histone genes lack a poly-A tail. 3' end processing occurs at a site between a highly conserved stem-loop (modelled by this family) and a purine rich region around 20 nts downstream (the histone downstream element, or HDE). The stem-loop is bound by a 31 kDa stem-loop binding protein (SLBP - also termed the histone hairpin binding protein, or HBP). Lineage: Eukaryota; Metazoa; Arthropoda; Insecta; Diptera; Culicidae. The record is from Rfam.